UACGUAGGUGGCAAGCGUUGUCCGGAUUUACUGGGCGUAAAGAGCGCGCAGGCGGUCGUCCAAGUCGCGUGUGAAAGCCCCCGCCUCAACUGGGGAGGGUCACGCGAUACUGGUCGACUCGAAGGCAGGAGAGGGUAGUGGAAUUCCCGGUGUAGUGGUGAAAUGCGUAGAUAUCGGGAGGAACACCAGUGGCGAAGGCGACUACCUGGCCUGUUCUUGACGCUGAGGCGCGAAAGCUAGGGGAGCAAACGGG
RNAcentral lists this ribosomal RNA (253 nucleotides) under uncultured bacterium. Its description in RNAcentral is "partial 16S ribosomal RNA". It matches the Rfam family "Bacterial small subunit ribosomal RNA", at positions 524 to 776 of the family's 1533-position model. The record is from RNAcentral.